AUCAUUCUAGGUACAAAGGAGUUGAGCCGAACUCCAACCUGUCAGGCUUGAAAUUCAAAAAGUCUGAAAAUUUUAGACUCAUCUUGACUCGAAACUCAAAUAAUUACCAUGUCUACAUGAGCAAUGAUCUCAUCAUCGUCGUACUUCUAGAAACACAUCCCUGCUUGGUGCUAUAUAAACCGAGGACAUAGCUACUGAUUUCAUCUCUAUCUCUCCCACUGUCAGUUACUGUAAGGAAAUGGGUUAUGCAGGUUUUGUUUUGGUGGCUCUGGUAAUAGUUGUUAUUACAAACAUAUGGAGAUUGUUUAAGAUUGUCGUGUGGAGGCCAUAUGUUUUGACUAAGAGCUUUGAGAAGCAAGGAAUCAAAGGCCCCCCUUACAAGCUUCUCUACGGUUCUCUUGCAGAGAUGAAGGAGCUGAAGAAAGUUGCAAGAAAAACUGUUUUAGAUACAAACUCCAAUGAUAUUAUUCAUAGAGUUGUCCCUCACUAUCACAAAUGGUUUUCUCAAUACGGUCAGUUUAAUUAUUUCUCCUCUUUUAUCGUAUUCUGGUAAUUAAUUGGUGUAAUUAUCAUUAAAAAUCUUAUAUAUAUAUAUAUAUAUAUAUAUAGAAAAAGAGAGAGAUAAUAAAAAUAAUAACUCUAAGAAAAACAAAAUCAAGAAGCAACAUGGGCCAUUCAAUAGGAUUUUGUUUGGUACGUGGAUCAUGCCAAAAUCUAAAAUAAUCUCUUCAAAAAUGACAGUUCUCUGCCUCUCAGAUUUGAUAACAUUUUGAAAGGAUUUGUCUCUUAUAAGUUAAAAGGCAGUUUUAUAUAAUGAUGUAUUUAUAUCUAAAUAAUUAUAAUUUUAAGUUUAGUUAUUUAUAAAUUAUUUUGAUAUAAAAUCUAUUUCAUAAUAAAUGGACUUGAAGCCAUCAUAAGUGGCGCCUUGAAGCGACUGAGGUUCAAUCCUUAACUUUAUGCUAUGAAACAUUCUAUUUCUAAUCCUCUCAGGUGAAACAAUACUAUAUUGGCAUGGCACAACACCGAGAAUCACAGUGACAGACCCAGAGCUGGCCAAACAAAUCCUAUCAAACAAAUUCGGCUUCUACGUAAAACCCAAACCAACGCCUUCAAUUCUAAAACUGACGGGUCAAGGAUUGAUUUUUGUGAAAGGAGGAGACUGGGUUCGCCAUAGAAGAGUUCUUAAUCCCGCUUUCUCUGUGGACAAGCUCAAGGUCUCUCAAACCUGUCAUCAGCUAAUUAUUUCUUUCUCUUUUCUGGUCUAAUUAAAUUUAGUAACAUUGUUUGUGACUGAAUUUGGCAGAUUAUGAUAAAGAAAAUGGCGGACUGCACCAUUGCAGUGCUCGAUGAGUGGAAUAAUCAGUGUCAUUUAUCUGAUAACGAUCAACGUACUGUAAAGAUAGCGAUGCAUGAAAAUUUACAAAAGCUUACAUCUGAUGUAAUUGCCCAUACUGCUUUUGGUAGUAGUUACAAGGAAGGCAGAGAAGCCUUUUAUGCACAAAAAGAGCUUCAAAAAUGCUGUGCAGCUUCAAUUUCUGAUGUUUUCAUUCCAGGCACCCAGUAAUUCUCCUACUCGCUCAAAUUUUGCCGUUUCUCCACCUAUUUUUUCUUUUUCUGAACCUGUUAAAGGAAUUCAGUAUAGUGAUUUUUUUUUUCCUCUUUUGGGGUCUUCGUAGGUAUCUACCCACUCCAAUGAACCUUCGCAUAUGGAAGCUAGACAAGCAGCUGACAAAUACAUUAAAGGGAAUAAUAGAAAGUAGAUUAAAAACAGCACAAUCAAGUUUAGACGGUUGUUAUGGAGAUGAUUUGCUGGGUAUAAUGAUAGAAUCAUUAGUAAGUAAAACAGCUGAAAGCAAAAAUAGUCCAAAAUUAAGCAUGUGUGAAAUAAUGGAAGACUGUAAAACAUUCUUCUUCGCCGGGCAAGAAACAACCGCAAAUUUACUAACUUGGACAACUUUCUUGUUGAGCUUACAUACAGACUGGCAAGAAAAACUUAGAGAAGAGGUGCUGAAAGAAUGUGGAAUGGAAAUUCCUGAUGCAGACAUGUUGGCCAAAUUAAAAUUAGUUAAUAUGGUUUUGCUCGAGGCUCUAAGGCUUUACGGUCCUGUAAUAAUGUUAAUCAGGAAAACGUCAGAAGAUAUGAAACUGGGAGAUUUGAUGAUUCCAAAAGAUACAUCCCUUACAAUUCCCCUGGUAAAAAUUCAUAGGAGCAAAGAAUACUGGGGAGAGGACGCAAAUGAGUUUAAUCCAUUGAGAUUUGCUAAUGGGGUGUCAAAGGCUGCGAAACACCCAAAUGCUUUGUUAGCGUUUGCAAUAGGGCCAAGAAUUUGUAUUGGGCAGAAUUUUGCAAUGUUAGAAGCAAAGACUGUGCUUGCUUUGAUUCUUCAGAGGUUUUCGCUUUCGCUUUCGCCUGAAUAUAAACAUGCUCCUGUGGAUUAUCUUACUCUCCAUCCGGAAUAUGGUUUGCAGGUUAAUGUAAAAUCGUUGCAUUUGUAAUGUGGGAACUGCCAUUUCUAUCUCCCUAAAGGUCGUUUUUUUUUUUUUUUUUUUUUUUUUUUUUUUUUUUUGUUUUCUUUGAAUAAAAUGUACGACGGUAAAUUCCAACGUUUGAAGUGAUUGAAAUCUUUGGAUUCUUGGAGACAGUCCACAUCAUAUAUGAUAUUGCUGAUGUAUUAUAUAAAUUUUUCCAUGGGUAAAGUCACUGAGUUGGAUCCAAUGAUAAACAAUUUGACUUUAUGAAGAUGUAAUUUUAGCUUUUCCGACUCCAAUGAUUGACAUAUACACUGCUCACAAAGCUUCCGGAUAAUUCAUGUUUCAUUUAAUGCUUAAUGUUCACCCAGUCAUAGAACACAAGAACAGGGAGAAAUCUGAAGCACCUAAGAUGUCAAAAAGCUCCAUGACAGUCUCUCAAACAACGACGGAGCCAGAAAUUAUUCGUAGAGGGGAAAAUAUAUUUAUUAUUUCAUACAAUAUAUAUUACGUAUCAUUUGUAUAGGAAAAAAUAAUUUUAAAAUUUUAAAUAUAUUAUUAAUGUAAAUUUAAAGUUUGAUUUUCAUUAAAAUAAAUAGUUUUCUGAGUAGAGGUAGAAUUAUUUUUAUUGCAUUUUGUGUAUUUAUAAUUUAUAUGUAUAAAUAAAUGGUUUAACAUUGAAAAUAUAUAUACAAUUUGAUAUUGAUGAAUUAUUGUGGAAAAUACAGAGUCUGUCAUAUAUGAAGUGAUAAAUAGUUUUUAAAAUAUUAAUUUUAAUUAUAUAAUAAAAUUUGUUUCAUAAUUUUAUUUAAAUUAUUAUUAAAAGAACUAUUUCUUUAAUUUUUAAAUUUAAAAAGGCUAUGCUUAAAUAUUUAAUAAAGCAAAGGAAAUUAUAAAAGUAAAUCAUAGACUAUCAUUUACAGUAAAAAAAAGCUUUUAAAUUAUGCGAAUUGUAUAUUUAUCUAAAGAAUUAAUCAUAUCCACGUUCACACUUAUCUUUUAACUAGAUAAAUUGAUUAUAUUAUAAUAAAAAAAAUGUAAAUACAAAUAGUAUAAAUUCAACACUAGGAUAAAAAUAAAUACCCCAAAUGAAAAUUAUUAAAAUUUUCAUAAAAUCUCAACCGAAUCUCUUUUUUCCUUAAAAAUUAGCAAAAUAUGAACCGGCAUGACAAAAGUGGUUCGAAUACUAAGUCGGCUUUUUGGCUACAUAUGAAAAAAAAAAAAAAAAGUGACGUUGACGAGUUUGUCCAUGUCUAGAUAACAUGAAAACGAAAUAUCUUUGAUUUCAAACCGUUUAAUUUGUAUGGUAUACCAUGCUAAAUCGAAAUAACUAAAAAUGCGAAAUUUAUAGAUCAAAUCGAACCAAGUUUCUGCAUAGGCCAAACUAAAAUUUUGAUUUUAUAUGCUAAAUUAAAUUUUCGAACUUAAUGCGACUCAAUUUAGUACUCAAUACAAGCAAAAUGAGAAAGAUGUGUGAUAGACGAUGACAAGCAACUCUACGAAAGCCUCAAAAUGGUGAUAUUACAACAGGGAAAUUAUCUGGUUGGGGCCAAUGAAAUUAAAGAUAGCCUUACAGUUUCACGAAGCCCAUGUUUAUCUGGGCAAUUAAUUAUCUCAGCCUCACCCUAUAUAUAUUUAUAUAAGUAAACUGAAAUUUAGCAUUCAGAGAGUUUGAUCAAAACGUAGAAUGGGCUAUUUCGUUGCUUUUGUAGUUGCUGUGGUAGUAAUUCUCGUUACGAAUAUUUGGCGUCUGUGUUGGAUUCUGCUGUGGAGGCCAUAUGUGUUAACUAAAACCUUUGAGAAGCAAGGAAUCAAAGGCCC
Molecule: long non-coding RNA, 4290 nt
Filed under: Jatropha curcas
Lineage: Eukaryota; Viridiplantae; Streptophyta; Magnoliopsida; Malpighiales; Euphorbiaceae
Description: long non-coding RNA (JCUR_LNC002500)
Source: RNAcentral